UUCCUUUCACUCUUACCCUGUUGGGCAAUAUAGACUAAUUCAGGAUCCCAAUGGAUCUACAUGUUUUUCCCUCUCAGAGUUGAUUUCACUGAGAGUAAGGUUUAAGUAAUACCACUUUGUGAUCUCUUCCUCUCCUUCUCAUAUGAGAGUUCUUCCCCUCUCGUCCCCAUGUGUAUCUUUGUAUGGGAAAGAUUAUUCUAUUUAGUCCCCCCUUGCCAUUUCUUGAAGUAAAUCUUAGUAUUGUCAAUGAUUUCCCCCCUCCCUUUUUCUUUCUUUGCCCCUCUUUCACCAAUUCUUCUUGAUGCCCCAAUCUUUCCCUUUACAUGAUUCUUCUAACUACUCUUAUGAUGCAUACAAUUUUUGAGAGUUACACAAUACAUUUUGCCCACAUAUUGAUAUAUAUAAUUUGAUGUAAAUGUAGUCCUUAUAUGAGAGGGUUUGACUUAAAGAAAAAGAUAAGAUUUUUCUCCUUUUCCCUUCCUUCCCUAUUUACCUUUUCAUGUUUCUCUUGCUUUCUGUGAUUAGAUAUCAAAUUUUCAACUAAGUUCUGGUCUUUUCUUAGUAAAUACUUGGGAAUCUUCUAUUUUGUUGAAUGUCCAUACUUCCCCCAGAACUAUAUAGUCAGUUUUGAUGGGUAGUUGAUUCUUGGUUGGAGACCCAGCUCUCUUCUCUUUCUAAUAUUGUGUUCCAUCCUUUGAGGUCUCUUAGCAUGUUAGCCUCUAAGUCAUGUGUGAUCCUUAUGGGGGCCCCUCUAUAUCUGAAGCUCCUCUUCUUGACUUCUUACAGGAUUUUCUCCUUUGCUUGGAAGCUCUUGAAUUUGGCGAUUACAUUCCUGGAAGUUGUCUUUUGGGGAUUUAGUAUAGAGGGUGUUCUAUGAACCCUUUCUAUUUCUAUUUUGACCCUUUCUCCAGAACAUGUGGGCAAUUUUCUUCUAUAAUCUCCUGUAGUAUAGCAUUUAGGUUUUUGUUUAUCUCUGGUUUUUCAGGCAGACCAAUACUUCUCAAGUUGUCUCUUCCUCCUCUGUUUUCCUGGUCUGUCACCUUGUUAGUGAGAUAUGUUAUGUUUUCUUCUAAUUCAUUAAUUUUUUGGCUUUGCUUUAUUAAUUCUUGCUGUUUUGCAAUUUUUUUUUUUUCUUCAGAAAAUCUAGCAGUUAAGAGUCAGCUUUUCACUCACCACACAUGUCAGUCCAAAGGAAGAGAUUUUAGUUUUUCUUUGAAAAAGUUUGUUUAA
Molecule: long non-coding RNA, 1230 nt
Filed under: Monodelphis domestica (gray short-tailed opossum)
Lineage: Eukaryota; Metazoa; Chordata; Mammalia; Didelphimorphia; Didelphidae
Description: lncRNA (ENSMODG00000040435.1)
Source: RNAcentral